GGGGAUAUAGCUCAGUGGUAGAAUGCAUGCCUUUCAUGAGACCCUGGGUUCAAUCCCCAAGCAUCCUCC
This 69-nucleotide transfer RNA is filed under the name Marmota monax (woodchuck). RNAcentral describes it as "tRNA.Lys". It matches the Rfam family "tRNA". From Rfam's summary of the family: Transfer RNA (tRNA) molecules are approximately 80 nucleotides in length. Their secondary structure includes four short double-helical elements and three loops (D, anti-codon, and T loops). Further hydrogen bonds mediate the characteristic L-shaped molecular structure. tRNAs have two regions of fundamental functional importance: the anti-codon, which is responsible for specific mRNA codon recognition, and the 3' end, to which the tRNAs corresponding amino acid is attached (by aminoacyl-tRNA synthetases). tRNAs cope with the degeneracy of the genetic code in two manners: having more than one tRNA (with a specific anti-codon) for a particular amino acid; and 'wobble' base-pairing, i.e. permitting non-standard base-pairing at the 3rd anti-codon position. Lineage: Eukaryota; Metazoa; Chordata; Mammalia; Rodentia; Sciuridae. The record is from RNAcentral.